This 74-nucleotide transfer RNA is filed under the name Wuhanlinigobius polylepis. RNAcentral describes it as "tRNA-Leu". It matches the Rfam family "tRNA". From Rfam's summary of the family: Transfer RNA (tRNA) molecules are approximately 80 nucleotides in length. Their secondary structure includes four short double-helical elements and three loops (D, anti-codon, and T loops). Lineage: Eukaryota; Metazoa; Chordata; Actinopteri; Gobiiformes; Gobiidae. The record is from RNAcentral.
GUUAAGGUGGCAGAGCCCGGUAAAUGCAGAAGACCUAAGCCCUUCUCACAGAGGUUCAACUCCUCUCCCUAACU